CUUGAUUCUACUUACUGGGGAUGUUACUAGUCUGACAGCAGCCUAUAAUUACGGAACUGGUGAUUUAGAGGGUGCUUCCAGGAACACCGCUAGAGACGGGAAGUGGGCUGAGCGCAGACUGCUGAUCUUUGGAGCUGAGAAUCUCAAGGGGAAAGCUCUCCCGCCUGCCCCAGGGGACUCCCCUCGCGCCUUCGGGAGGCGGCAGCAAAUGGAGAAAGCGCUCUGCCGCUCACUCGGGCGCCGUUGUCCCGUACUUGCCCGCUGGCAGCCUGCGAGCGGCAGUCUGAAGCCCGGUGAUCCCAGGGCUGCGUUACUAAUGCAGCUUCCAGCUGAGCGUCUCCGUGGCUCGUGGCUUGC
This 357-nucleotide long non-coding RNA is filed under the name Struthio camelus australis. Its description in RNAcentral is "lncRNA (ENSSCUG00000016353.1)". The record is from RNAcentral. Lineage: Eukaryota; Metazoa; Chordata; Aves; Struthioniformes; Struthionidae.